Molecule: ribosomal RNA, 159 nt
Filed under: uncultured Rhodocyclaceae bacterium
Lineage: Bacteria; Pseudomonadati; Pseudomonadota; Betaproteobacteria; Rhodocyclales; Rhodocyclaceae
Description: partial 16S ribosomal RNA
Rfam family: Bacterial small subunit ribosomal RNA
Source: RNAcentral
AUACAAUAGUCGGUACAGAGGACGUGCCAACCCGCGAGGGGGAGCUAAUCCCACAAAGCCGAUCGUAGUCCGGAUCGCAGUCUGCAACUCGACUGCGUGAAGUCGGAAUCGCUAGUAAUCGUGGAUCAGCAUGUCACGGUGAAUACGUUCCCGGGUCUU